Long non-coding RNA from Lolium perenne, 4662 nucleotides. RefSeq lists it as uncharacterized. The record is from RefSeq and is a predicted model, not a curated record. NCBI's taxonomy places the organism in Eukaryota, Viridiplantae, Streptophyta, Magnoliopsida, Poales, Poaceae.
AUCAUCUUCCUCCCUCUCCCUAGCUUCGUCUGCUUGCCCGCCCGACUCUCAUCUGGCUCACCCACACGACCCUCCGCCGGCUCGCCCACGCGGCCAUCCACCUCGCCUGCGCGACUCUCGCCUCGCCCGCGCGGCCCUCCUCACCCUCCUCCGUCUCGCCGCCGCGGCCAUCCGCAUCGCCCGCGCGGCCCUCCUCCGUUCGCCCCACGGCCCCCCGCCUGCUCGCCCGUGUGGGCCUCUGCCUCGCACGCGCAGCACUUCGCCUAGCCCGCGCGGCCCUCUACCUGCUCGUCGGCGCGGUCCUCCGCCUGCUCCGGCACCUGACGCACCGCUCGUGACCCGGACGAGCACGUCAUGCCUCCGCUUCCCCUGCAACAUCUGCUCUCGAAGCGCGCACGCUGCUUUCUCUACCAAUGUCCCCUGGUUCCCGAUCGACGAUCAUGACAUACAUACAUGAAGGCAUGUGCCUGUCACUAACUGACGUAUUCGAGGAUGCGGCGUGGACUGACGGGAUCCAUGUCCACAGAGGCCUUGGCGAGGGAUUUGGCGGCGCGUGGCCUCGGAUCCUACCUUGUCGCCGAUGAGGAUUCGUCUGUGGUGUUGGAUUGACUCCGCUGGUGAAGGUUAAUCAAGGAGGAAAAUAAUAGUUGGAAGCUCUUGCAACACUAUUUAAUGGGAUCAGCAUCAAUCAACUUCAAUCACUGCUAUCAGAAACAUAUAUCAGUGAUUUUUGUAACAGUUCCAUCACUGUCUUGUCUACCAAGAGUAUGCCAUGAAAAGCCAAUCACUGUCUUCUGUUUACCAUGAGUAUGCCAUGAAAAACCAAGAUACCAGUAGUUAUUCUCAGGUACUUUCUUACUUAUGAUGCAUUAGCUGUGACUUUCCAUCUUUUUGUUCAACUUUAUACUUAUUCUGCAAUCCUAGCAAUCCUGGGUAGUUCCUUCAGAUUUCCUAACUCGUCUGGUCAGACAAAGACCCAUUAUUAUUUUCUCUUUUAUUUAAUUAGAUUUUCUUAAAGUUCACCGCGUACUGUAAGAGUAUAUGGUGCAAUAUUGAAAGUUAUCAAUGAACUUCUAGAGCAGAAAAUAAAUGGUCAAGAAAGUAGCACAAACUGAAAUCUAAAAAAUAUACUGCAUCAAUAAAUUGAACCAUUUGCACAUCUAAUAUCUGGACAAAUAUAUGUACUUACACUCAAUGUAGACACUCAAUAGCCUUACCUAAAUAGCCUUGUGAUCUCAUAGGCAUUUACAUACUUACCGAACAAAGCGUUAUAGCCUAUACCCUUGUAUGAAUAAUAAACACUCGUCGAUAAACAUGAACAGUCGCAGGAACUCGAAGUAGAUCCUUAUUUCACCUUCUGAGCAAAUCAAAGCUAGUUCAGGAUUGAGAAUUAGAACCAAACGAUGAACAUAAUUUAACCGCAGUAGGAUAGCAUAAAACUUCAGGUUAGUAGGCAGAGUCUGAAAGUAAUGCAAAAUUAUAAUCGUCAACACAAAAGGGUGCACAAGUAACCUCAUUCAGAAAAAAUACACCGACAAUCCGGUAGCAAAUAACAAAAUUCAACAAGAACCCAAUUAAAUAUCAGAAUUAAGCUACGCAUGGCACAAAAGUUUUGCAUCUCCAAGUAAGGUGCCCGGUUUUAAUUAUGAACAUAAGAAGUUCAGAAGCUGAACAAGAGACCCUUUUUUUUAACAAAAACAAGAAAUCCCUUUCGUGGUUACCUAAAGAAGACAACAGGGCCAGGAAGAACUUCAAAUCUGCGUUGCCGGGAAUGAGGUUGAGGAUGACAGGGAACAACAUUGGCGGCAUGGCAGUCCUUUUAAUCCCCACCACGCUAGAUCUCCUCCGCAGCCUGCGGUGCAUGAUAAGUUCCAUUGAAAUGCUUAUACGAAUUUUCUAGAAGGACAAACUAUGGGCCGAACAAAAAAAUCUUAAGAAAUUUACCAAAAACAAAAGGCGCAAAGAAUAAAGUGAACUAAACCUGAGUGCAAUACCACGUGCAUCCAAGGAGCUUUCUUAGCCAAAGAAUCACGAAACAAGAGGCCCAGAGGCAGUGUUGCUAUAAGCAAAGCUGAUGGCUUCAGUCAUAGCACAAAUAACUCAAGACAAAUUGCGGACAAAAUAGGAGAAAACACAUAUUUCCAAACUUGUUCUUUGCAUAAGCACGACCAUGAACCAGCAUUUUUUUCGGUAAAGAGUAUAUUAUUAUCGAGAGAAACCAAUUACACCUAGCCUCUGCAACAACGUAAUACCCUAAUGGCAAUACGGCAUGCAUGAAUAAAGAUCCUGAAUGCUUAAGCAUAGCCUGGAGAAACAAAUAUCUUAAAAGGAUAAACAAUUUUGUAGGUGCUUACCUUUUCUACAAAGUUCAGGAUAGAGAACGUCCAUGGUGCAAAAUGUAGUAGCAUUUUUGAGUAGGACAAAACUUCACAUACCAAUAUACCAUGUUUCAAUUCGCCUGCAUUUAGCGACCAAAAACGCAUUGCAAAAUAAUUCAGAGCACACAGUAAAUGGUUUGAUUGCUGCAGAUUUGGUAAACCGUAACAGAAUUAACCUGCAUAUGGCCAGUUCUACCUUCGAGUGGCGACCUCCUGGUGUAGCGUGCGUCGGGGUCGGCUGCAAGUCCCUGCAGAUAGGCGUCGACAACGUCAUGCAUCAUGGUCGUCAGCAAGUCUCAACAAACAAGUGUUGACGGGCGGUGAGUUCCUGGUGCAGCCAAGCGGGCGAUAGUGCAAGAAGGCGGUCGACGGGCGGCGAAUCCCUAGUACUCUAUUACGGAUUCGAACGGCGGCGUUACGGUUUCUUCCAGCGGCGGGUGAAACAUGGACGAGAAGAAGGGACGGAUGAGAGAAUGAAGAGUGGCUAUGGUGAGGAGGAUAGUUGGAGGUCUUUUCCAAAAGUGAGGUCCGGCGCCGGAGAUAAGGACACGGGGUUGCGGCGCUCGCCACGGUCGGCGGGUCUAGCUGAGUUUAUAUGAUAUCUACAGGAAUGGAAUGAUAAGCAACACCAAUAGAAAUAUUUAUUUUCGGCGCACGGAAACACAUUCCAUAUAAGGAAGGCUUGAUCACGUCCUUAUAUCUGAAGAUGUGCUCUGGGGCCUAAUUGAUCUCUCAAGAUUGCAUCCCUAGCUCGCGGGAUCAAUUCGUGAUCUAUAUAAGGAAGGGCUGAUCGCAUCCCGAUAUCUUCGGAGAUGUCUUUGAUAGCAGAAACGAGGAGAUCAUGUCCUCCAUUUUUUUCAAGCGAUCUGCCUAAACAAGAAGGAUGAGAUCGUGUCAGCUAUAAAUCGAUUGACGUUACAAAGGGAAGGAGGGGCAACUUGCCAUGAAAUUAGCUCGGACAAAUGAAGACCAUGAGAUUAGAUUUGACGGUCAGGAUUGUUUUAAUGACGACCACCAAAGUGCGUUGAGUGUCAAACGACCAACUCACAUUUAAUAGUAAAGAUGCUUUAUUACUACCGUUGACAAAAUUGUUUCUUGUUUUCAAAAUAAAAUCUCUAGCAUAAAUAUAGCAAUCCAUGCUUCCCUCUUCGAAGGGCCAUUCUUUUACUUUUAUGUUGAGUCUGUUUACCCGCUUCCUUCCAUCUUAGAAGCAAACACUUGUGUUAACUGUGCAUUGAUUCUUACUGUUAUGUGGCUGCUAGGUGUAGUGUUAGAGUACGUCAUGGGCCUGGGCCCGUUAGUUUUAUGGUUUGCUUAGGGGUCAAGUAAGCCUUGCUUGGGAGUCAAGUAAACCUCUCUAUAUAUGGAGAGGAGAUGUAUCAAUUUAAUCAAGCAAGAAUUAAGAAGGAAAUCCCUUCCCUCUUGCCCGGCCGUGGGCAAAAGGCCCCCGGCCGGCCUUCUCGCGCCCUCGCAACCCUCUCUCUCCCUCCCAUAUUUCCUUCUUAAUUCUUGCUUCAUUAGAUUGAUACAUCUCCUCUUCAUAUAUAGAGAGGUUUACUUGACUCCCAAGCAAGGCUUACUUGACCCCUAAGCAAACCAUAAGACUAACGGGCCCAGGCCCAUGACGUACUCUAACACUUACAUACUUGCAUAUUUGCAUUCAUCAUAUUACUUUAUGUUGAAAAUAUCCAUGAGAUAUACAUGUUGAAGUUGAAAGCAACCGCUGAAACUUAAUCUUCCUUUGUGUUGCUUCAAUGCCUUUAUUUAGAAUCUAUUGCUUUAUGAGUUAACUCUUAUGCAAGACUUAUUGAUGCUUGUCUUGAAAGUACUAUUCAUGAAAAGUCUUUGCUAUAUGAUUCAAUUGUUUACCCAUUGUCUUUACCAUUGCUUCGAAUCGCUGCAUUCAUUACAUGUGCUUACAAUAGUAUUGAUCAAGAUUAUGAUAGCAUGUCACUUCAGAAAUUAUCUUUGUUAUCGUUUACCUACUCGGGAUGAGUAGGAACUAAGCUUGGAGAUGCUGAUACGUCUCCAACGUAUCGAUAAUUUCUUAUGUUCCAUGCUUGUUUUAUGAUGAUUGAUGGCGUGUAACUCACACGUUCGUUGGGAACCCCAAGAGGAAGGUAUGAUGCGCACAGCAGCAAGUUUUCCCUCAGAAAGAAACCAAGGUUUAUCGAACCAGGAGGAGCCAAGAAGCACGUUGAAGGUUGAUGGCGGCGGGAUGUAGUGCGGCGCAACACCAGGGAUUCCGGCGCCAACGUGGAACUCGCACAACACAACCAAAGUA